AUGUGUGUUCCUAAAAACAGAGGUGGAAUGGGCUUUCGGACAAUUGAUCCCCUACACUUGUGGGUUAUCACUAAACAGUGUUGGCGAUUAAUUGAUAACUAUGAUUCCUUAUGUGCUAGAGUUCUUCCGUCUAAGAAUUAUCCAAGUGGGGAUUUGCUUAACUAUGCUCUCAAGAAAGGCUCAUCAUACGUAUGGCAGAGCAUAUGGGUAGGCAUCCAAACAUUCAAGGAGGGUUGUAUCGGGAGGGUAGGUACUGGAGUGAAAAUAAGUAUGUGGGAUGAUCGUUGGAUCCCUAGCAGCUCUUCGAGGAAAAUUAUUACACCCAGAGGGAAUAUAAUGCUAUCCAAGGUGAAUGAGUUAAUAAGAUCCUAUUACGAGAUUUUGCAAUGA
RNAcentral lists this ribosomal RNA (390 nucleotides) under Triticum aestivum (bread wheat). RNAcentral's name for it is "partial small subunit ribosomal RNA". The record is from RNAcentral. Lineage: Eukaryota; Viridiplantae; Streptophyta; Magnoliopsida; Poales; Poaceae.